RNAcentral lists this ribosomal RNA (1051 nucleotides) under potato plant root bacterium RC-III-94. RNAcentral's name for it is "bacterial SSU rRNA". It matches the Rfam family "Bacterial small subunit ribosomal RNA", at positions 9 to 1053 of the family's 1533-position model. The record is from RNAcentral.
GAGUUUGAUCCUGGCUCAGAUUGAACGCUGGCGGCAGGCCUAACACAUGCAAGUCGAGCGGUAGCACAGGGAGCUUGCUCCUGGGUGACGAGCGGCGGACGGGUGAGUAAUGUCUGGGAAACUGCCUGAUGGAGGGGGAUAACUACUGGAAACGGUAGCUAAUACCGCAUAACGUCGCAAGACCAAAGAGGGGGACCUUCGGGCCUCUUGCCAUCAGAUGUGCCCAGAUGGGAUUAGCUAGUAGGUGGGGUAAUGGCUCACCUAGGCGACGAUCCCUGGCUGGUCUGAGAGGAUGACCAGCCACACUGGAACUGAGACACGGUCCAGACUCCUACGGGAGGCAGCAGUGGGGAAUAUUGCACAAUGGGCGCAAGCCUGAUGCAGCCAUGCCGCGUGUAUGAAGAAGGCCUUCGGGUUGUAAAGUACUUUCAGCGAGGAGGAAGGCAUUGUGGUUAAUAACCGCAGUGAUUGACCGUAAUUCGCAGAAGAAGCACCGGCUAACUCCGUGCCAGCAGCCGCGGUAAUACGGAGGUGCAAGCGUUAAUCGGAAUUACUGGGCGUAAAGCGCACGCAGGCGUUCUGUCAAGUCGGAUGUGAAAUCCCCGGCUCAACCUGGGAACUGCAUUCGAAACUGGCAGGCUAGAUCUUGUAGAGGGGGGUAGAAUUCCAGGUGUAGCGGUGAAAUGCGUAGAGAUCUGGAGGAAUACCGGUGGCGAAGGCGGCCCCCUGGACAAAGACUGACGCUCAGGUGCGAAAGCGUGGGGAGCAAACAGGAUUAGAUACCCUGGUAGUCCACGCCGUAAACGAUGUCGACUUGGAGGUUGUUCCCUUGAGGAGUGGCUUCCGGAGCUAACGCGUUAAGUCGACCGCCUGGGGAGUACGGCCGCAAGGUUAAAACUCAAAUGAAUUGACGGGGGCCCGCACAAGCGGUGGAGCAUGUGGUUUAAUUCGAUGCAACGCGAAGAACCUUACCUACUCUUGACAUCCAGAGAACUUAGCAGAGAUGCUUUGGUGCCUUCGGGAACUCUGAGACAGGUGCUGCAUGGCUGUC